This 448-nucleotide ribosomal RNA is filed under the name uncultured Burkholderia sp. RNAcentral describes it as "bacterial SSU rRNA". It matches the Rfam family "Bacterial small subunit ribosomal RNA", at positions 202 to 637 of the family's 1533-position model. Lineage: Bacteria; Pseudomonadati; Pseudomonadota; Betaproteobacteria; Burkholderiales; Burkholderiaceae. The record is from RNAcentral.
GGGGGAUCUUAGGACCUCCCGCUACAGGGGCGGCCGAUGGCAGAUUAGCUAGUUGGUGGGGUAAAGGCCUACCAAGGCGACGAUCUGUAGCUGGUCUGAGAGGACGACCAGCCACACUGGGACUGAGACACGGCCCAGACUCCUACGGGAGGCAGCAGUGGGGAAUUUUGGACAAUGGGGGAAACCCUGAUCCAGCAAUGCCGCGUGUGUGAAGAAGGCCUUCGGGUUGUAAAGCACUUUUGUCCGGAAAGAAAUCCUCUUCGCUAAUACCGAGGGGGGAUGACGGUACCGGAAGAAUAAGCACCGGCUAACUACGUGCCAGCAGCCGCGGUAAUACGUAGGGUGCAAGCGUUAAUCGGAAUUACUGGGCGUAAAGCGUGCGCAGGCGGUUCGCUAAGACAGAUGUGAAAUCCCCGGGCUUAACCUGGGAACUGCAUUUGUGACUGGC